UACGUAGGGUGCGAGCGUUAAUCGGAAUUAUUGGGCGUAAAGCGUGCGCAGGCGGUUUUGCAAGCCGGAUGUGAAAUCCCCGGGCUUAACCUGGGAAUGGCAUUUGGGACUGCAAGGCUGGAGUGCGGCAGAGGAGACUGGAAUUCCUGGUGUAGCAGUGAAAUGCGUAGAUAUCAGGAGGAACACCGAUGGCGAAGGCAGGUCUCUGGGCUGACACUGACGCUCAUGCACGAAAGCGUGGGGAGCAAACAGG
Molecule: ribosomal RNA, 253 nt
Filed under: uncultured bacterium
Lineage: Bacteria
Description: partial 16S ribosomal RNA
Rfam family: Bacterial small subunit ribosomal RNA
Source: RNAcentral